This is a non-coding RNA of Salvelinus sp. IW2-2015, 1910 nucleotides long. The record is from RefSeq and is a predicted model, not a curated record. Lineage: Eukaryota; Metazoa; Chordata; Actinopteri; Salmoniformes; Salmonidae.
GGAGUUGAUGUAUUUUUCGUUAGGGAAAAUCAAGUCUGGAAUUGCAAAGUGGAAAUUACAAACUUUAGAGGCAUUUUUGUAAACUAAAUACACUAUACGUUUGCGUUUCCUGCUGUGCAGGAAAAUUCUCAGCAACAAGAGAGUGAUCAAAUUAAGAUCCUGUAUCUGUAGUUCCACAGAAAGGGAAAAACAACAGGAAACAACUCAAUGGUAAUGAUCCAGGCCCACUCACCACUCUACAGCUUUCUCCCUCUCUCAACCCAAAUGGCUCAUAUGGUGUUCUGUUUGGGACCACAGUACUGACAGAGACUUUAAAUGCAGUAUGACUGGUGUAUUAACUGAAUGUCUUUGGGGUUUGAGGAAGUUCCUUCUCAGGAAUUUAAAGUUAUUUGUAAUGAAAUUAAUUGAAUGAAGUUGUUUUAUUUAAGAUGUGAGCCUUAAAGAUGUGUUUGUUACGAGAAAAACUAGUUAGCAUUACUUUGCAGAAAUCGCUGAUUACCUUCCUGACUUUCUCCUCAUCUAAGACGUUUUUUUUAUGGAGAUCCACCUUCUACAUUUUUAAAAAUAAAUAGAUCAAAUUUAAUUUUACAGGAACAUUUACAAACUCAGCAACUCCACAAAAGUAUAAAAGAAAGGAGAUGAGACACUGCAACAACAACAACAAAAAACUGUGAUUACAGAAUGGCAGUUUUUGCAGUUGCAUUGCUGAGCUUUCUUACCAAGUGGCGCAGCGGUCUAAGGCACUGAAUCUCAAUGCAAGAGGCGUCACUACAGUCCCUGGUUCGAAUCCAGGCGGAAUCACAUUCGGCUGUGAUUGGGAGUCCCCAUAGGGCAGCAAAAAUUGGACAAGCGUCGUCAGGGUUUGGCCGAGGUAGACUGUCAUUGCAAAUAAGAAUUUGUUCUUAAUUAACUGACUUGCCUAGUUAAAUAAAGGUUAAAUAAAAAAUACGGUUGAAAAGUUAUUGACCUUUUGCUGUUAAUUUGAUUACAGCUCAAGCAUCGACGUUGAAAGCUGUAGAGAACCAGAUGAAAGCUGUAGAGAACCAGAUCGACCAGCUGCAGAAAGACAAUGGAAACACAAGAUGACAAAAAUGUGAAGUAGCUUUUUCAGUUGGACUUCAAGGUGAAACUCUUGGGCCACAUGACACCACAAUCAUAUUAGUCUAGAAGAAAGUCAAUAUAGACAUUGGCAACGGGUACAACACAAACACAGGAAUGUGUACAGCUCCAGUUGAAGGAGUUUACUACUUCCCGUUCAACUGCCUCAAGGGGAAAACCAAUAGAAUGAAUGUGAUGGAGGAUGGCGCAGCUAUUGGAUCUGAGCACAACUCCAGCGAUGACAUGGCGAGCAACGGGUUCAUCGUGUCCAUGAAGGUCGGAAAUCAGGUCUGGAUGACCCUCAUCAGUCACACUCACAUUCUUGGUGAGGAACUAUUGACCACAUUCAAUGGCUUUCUGCUCUUCCCCAUGUGAGUAGAGAGCCGGUGUGAGAAGGCUAUCCAUUUCACCUUGCAUAUGUGUCUUUACAGCCAAUGUAAGAAAACUCAUCUUUGCAUUAUACAUGAAUAGCUAACGAAUAAUGUGGGUGCUAUAUUCAAUUUACAUUACAUGUGCAAUAUGUAACAACGCAUCUUUAUUUUUGUUCUGAUUGAAGAUAAUGUAAAGAAAGCAUUUAUUUGAUCAAACAAAUAAAAUAUAUUCACAAUAAGAAUGUUCUUAGCUCGUAUGUUCUCUCUCUUCAUGAACUUUGUAGCUGUGGUAACUGUAUUAUAGGGACACACAGUCCAUCUGAAACACUAUUUCACUACACUGAAACAUGGUAUUAACACAUAUUCUGUUUGACCCUAACCCUGGAGAUUAAAUAAGUCUGUUGUUAUUGUUGUGUGUGUGUGUCUGAGAGAGCGAGAAUU